This 24-nucleotide non-coding RNA is filed under the name Arabidopsis thaliana (thale cress). Lineage: Eukaryota; Viridiplantae; Streptophyta; Magnoliopsida; Brassicales; Brassicaceae. The record is from RNAcentral.
AGGCCACAACGAAUGAUUACGAGA